This 77-nucleotide transfer RNA is filed under the name Armatimonadota bacterium. Its description in RNAcentral is "Armatimonadetes bacterium tRNA-Val". It matches the Rfam family "tRNA". Rfam says of the family: Transfer RNA (tRNA) molecules are approximately 80 nucleotides in length. Their secondary structure includes four short double-helical elements and three loops (D, anti-codon, and T loops). RNAcentral also lists the same sequence under 2 other names. The record is from RNAcentral. Lineage: Bacteria; Bacillati; Armatimonadota.
GGGGUUAUGGCACAGUUGGUUAGCGCGCUUCCUUGACAUGGAAGAGGUCACAGGUUCGAGUCCUGUUAACCCCACCA